RNAcentral lists this ribosomal RNA (316 nucleotides) under uncultured bacterium. RNAcentral's name for it is "bacterial SSU rRNA". It matches the Rfam family "Bacterial small subunit ribosomal RNA", at positions 481 to 793 of the family's 1533-position model. The record is from RNAcentral.
GCAGAAGAAGCACCGGCUAACUCCGUGCCAGCAGCCGCGGUAAUACGGAGGGUGCGAGCGUUUAAUCGGAAUUACUGGGCGUAAAGCGCAUGCAGGUGGUUUGUUAAGUCAGAUGUGAAAGCCCGGGGCUCAACCUCGGAAUUGCAUUUGAAACUGGCAAACUAGAGUACUGUAGAGGGGGGUAGAAUUUCAGGUGUAGCGGUGAAAUGCGUAGAGAUCUGAAGGAAUACCGGUGGCGAAGGCGGCCCCCUGGACAGAUACUGACACUCAGAUGCCGAAAGCGUGGGGAGCAAACAGGAUUAGAUACCCCUGGUAG